This 253-nucleotide ribosomal RNA is filed under the name uncultured bacterium. RNAcentral's name for it is "partial 16S ribosomal RNA". It matches the Rfam family "Bacterial small subunit ribosomal RNA", at positions 524 to 776 of the family's 1533-position model. The record is from RNAcentral.
UACGUAGGGUGCGAGCGUUGUCCGGAAUUAUUGGGCGUAAAGGGCUCGUAGGCGGUUUGUCGCGUCGGGAGUGAAAACACCGGGCUUAACUCGGUGCUUGCUUUCGAUACGGGCAGACUAGAGGCAUGCAGGGGAGAACGGAAUUCCUGGUGUAGCGGUGAAAUGCGCAGAUAUCAGGAGGAACACCGGUGGCGAAGGCGGGUCUCUGGGCCGAUACUGACGCUGAGGCGCGAAAGCGUGGGGAGCGAACAGG